AGCAGGGAGAGGGGUUGCAGGCAGGAGUGUGGACAAGGGUAAAUUUCACGGAGACUUCCAGCGGCCCCGCCUCUUUCGUGUAGGGAAACCUUUCCUCCUCUUGUGUGGGGACACCUCAAACUCACUCCUGCAUGAGUUCCUCAUCCAACCCUGCCUCAGAAGAUGGCAGCUCCAUCUUCCAGUUGCUGGGGCUGAAAUAAAACUCUGUAAUCCCUCAUUCUUUUCCCAUCCUGGAGUUGGACCAAAGAUUCAUUCAGGUUAUGUAAGCUCUACCAGCUAAGGAGUCAUUGUGCUGCCUGUCGUUUUCCCAGCCCAGGGAUGGGACUCCAGGCCUUAUACAUAGGCAGGUUCUCCACUGAGCCAUGCCCUCAGCCCCUCUCUGGGGGAUUCUAGGCAGGGGCUCUACCACUGAUCCAUGCCCCCAGC
Molecule: long non-coding RNA, 426 nt
Filed under: Mus caroli (Ryukyu mouse)
Lineage: Eukaryota; Metazoa; Chordata; Mammalia; Rodentia; Muridae
Description: lncRNA (MGP_CAROLIEiJ_G0003982.1)
Source: RNAcentral